This 496-nucleotide ribosomal RNA is filed under the name uncultured bacterium. RNAcentral's name for it is "partial 16S ribosomal RNA". It matches the Rfam family "Bacterial small subunit ribosomal RNA", at positions 29 to 507 of the family's 1533-position model. The record is from RNAcentral.
AUGCACGCUGGCGGCGUGCCUAAUACCUGCAAGUCGAGCGAACGGACGAGAAGCUUGCUUCUCUGAUGUUAGCGGCGGACGGGUGAGUAACACGUGGAUAACCUACCUAUAAGACUGGGAUAACUUCGGGAAACCGGAGCUAAUACCGGAUAAUAUUUUGAACCGCAUGGUUCAAAAGUGAAAGACGGUCUUGCUGUCACUUAUAGAUGGAUCCGCGCUGCAUUAGCUAGUUGGUAAGGUAACGGCUUACCAAGGCAACGAUGCAUAGCCGACCUGAGAGGGUGAUCGGCCACACUGGAACUGAGACACGGUCCAGACUCCUACGGGAGGCAGCAGUAGGGAAUCUUCCGCAAUGGGCGAAAGCCUGACGGAGCAACGCCGCGUGAGUGAUGAAGGUCUUCGGAUCGUAAAACUCUGUUAUUAGGGAAGAACAUAUGUGUAAGUAACUGUGCACAUAUUGACGGUACCUAAUCAGAAAGCCACGGCUAACUACGUG